This 422-nucleotide ribosomal RNA is filed under the name uncultured bacterium. RNAcentral's name for it is "partial 16S ribosomal RNA". It matches the Rfam family "Bacterial small subunit ribosomal RNA", at positions 360 to 774 of the family's 1533-position model. The record is from RNAcentral.
AAUCUUGCACAAUGGGCGAAAGCCUGAUGGAGCAACCCCGCGUGAGUGAAGAAGGCUUUCGGAUCGUAAAACUCUGUUGUAAGGGAAGAACAAGUACAUCAGUAACUGGCUGUAUCUUGACGGUACCUGAUUAGAAAGCCACGGCUAACUACGUGCCAGCAGCCGCGGUAAUACGUAGGGGGCAAGCGUUGUCCGGAAUUAUUGGGCGUAAAGCGCGUGUAGGCGGUCCUUAAAGUAGGAUGUGAAAGCCCACGGCUCAACCGUGGAAGGUCAUUGGAAACUGGGGGACUAGAGUGCAGAAGAGGAAAGUGGAAUUCCAAGUGUAGCAGUGAAAUGCGUAGAGAUUUGGAGGAACACCAGUGGCGAAGGCGACUUUCUGGUAUGUAACUGACGCUGAGGCGCGAAAGCGUGGGGAGCAAACA